ACUCAAAGGAAUUGACGGGGGCUCACACAAGCGGUGGAGGAUGUGGUUUAAUUCGAAGCAACGCGAAGAACCUUACCAGGUCUUGACAUACCGGGAUUAAUUCCGUGAAAACGGGAGGAUUGCUCGCAAGAGUGUAACCGGAACAGGUGCUGCAUGGCUGUCGUCAGCUCGUGCCGUGAGGUGUUAGGUUAAGUCCUUUAACGAGCGAAACCCCUGCCACUAGUUACCAGCGAGUAAAGUCGGGGACUCUAGUGGGACUGCCGCGCAAGCUGGAGGAAGGUGGGGACGACGUCAAGUCAUCAUGGCCUUUAUGAUCUGGGCUACACACGUCCUACAAUGGAUGGUACAAAGGGCAGCAAGCAUGCGAAUGCAAGCCAAUCCCCGAAAGCCAUCCUCAGUUCAGAUUGUGGGCUGCAAUUCGCCCACAUGAAGCUGGAAUCGCUAGUAAUCGCGGAUCAGCCACGCCGCGGUGAAUUUGUUCCUGAGCCUUGUACACACCGCCCGU
Molecule: ribosomal RNA, 505 nt
Filed under: uncultured bacterium
Lineage: Bacteria
Description: partial 16S ribosomal RNA
Rfam family: Bacterial small subunit ribosomal RNA
Source: RNAcentral